RNAcentral lists this ribosomal RNA (459 nucleotides) under uncultured bacterium. Its description in RNAcentral is "partial 16S ribosomal RNA". It matches the Rfam family "Bacterial small subunit ribosomal RNA", at positions 338 to 795 of the family's 1533-position model. The record is from RNAcentral.
CCUACGGGAGGCAGCAGUGAGGAAUAUUGGUCAAUGGGCGGGAGCCUGAACCAGCCAAGCCGCGUGAAGGAAGACGGUCCUACGUGUCGUAAACCUCUUUUAUCAGGGGACAAAUUGGGCCACGCGUGCCCUUCUGUAGGUACCUCACGAAAAAGGAUCGGCUAACUCCGUGCCAGCAGCCGCGGUAAUACGGAAGGUUCGGGCGUUAUCCGGAUUUAUUGGGUUUAAAGGGUGCGCAGGCGGCCUUUUAAGUUCGCGGUAAAAGCCCGGGGCUCAACCCCGGCGAGCCGUUGAAACUGGCGGGCUGGAGUGGGAGAGAAGUAUGCGGAAUGCGCGGUGUAGCGGUGAAAUGCUUAGAUAUCGCGCAGAACUCCGAUUGCGAAGGCAGCGUACCGGCUCGACACUGACGCUGAGGCACGAAAGCGUGGGUAUCGAACAGGAUUAGAUACCCGAGUAGUC